GGUACAUUUAUGCCCACGACUAUGACAGUGCCUAAAGGUACAUCCCCAUUGAUGUAGUGGCAUGCAGCUUGGCUUUAAUCGCUCGGCUUUGUCUGUUUCCUCUGUUUUCAACCAGUAACAAAAUAUAAUCAAUAUAAAUCACAUGAUAAAUCAGUAUUAUUUCAUUUUCAUUAAAAUGUCGUGAUUGAACGUAUUAUUGACUGCUGCG
Cinara cedri is the source of this 208-nucleotide non-coding RNA. NCBI's taxonomy places the organism in Eukaryota, Metazoa, Arthropoda, Insecta, Hemiptera, Aphididae. The record is from the annotation of a GenBank genome assembly.